Molecule: ribosomal RNA, 465 nt
Filed under: uncultured bacterium
Lineage: Bacteria
Description: partial 16S ribosomal RNA
Rfam family: Bacterial small subunit ribosomal RNA
Source: RNAcentral
GACGAACGCUGGCGGCGUGCUUAACACAUGCAAGUCGAACGGAAAGGCCCCUUUGGGGGUCCUCGAGUGGCGAACGGGUGAGUAACACGUGAGUAACCUGCCCUUGGCUUCGGGAUAACUUCAGGAAACUGGGGCUAAUACCGGAUAGGAAUCCUUGCUGCAUGGUGGGGGUUGGAAAGCUUCGGCGGUUUUGGAUGGACUCGCGGCUUAUCAGCUUGUUGGUGGGGUAGUGGCUUACCAAGGCUUUGACGGGUAGCCGGCCUGAGAGGACGACCGGCCACAUUGGGACUGAGAUACGGCCCAGACUCCUACGGGAGGCAGCAGUGGGGAAUAUUGCACAAUGGGCGGAAGCCUGAUGCAGCAACGCCGCGUGCGGGAUGACGGCCUUCGGGUUGUAAACCGCUUUCAGCAGGGGCGAAGCUUGUGGUGACGGUACCUGCAGAAGAAGCACCGGCUAACUACGUG